This 498-nucleotide ribosomal RNA is filed under the name uncultured bacterium. RNAcentral's name for it is "partial 16S ribosomal RNA". It matches the Rfam family "Bacterial small subunit ribosomal RNA", at positions 30 to 523 of the family's 1533-position model. The record is from RNAcentral.
AUUGAACGCUGGCGGCAUGCCUUACACAUGCAAGUCGAACGGUAACAGGUCUUCGGAUGCUGACGAGUGGCGAACGGGUGAGUAAUACAUCGGAACGUGCCUAGCAGUGGGGGAUAACUACUCGAAAGAGUGGCUAAUACCGCAUGAGAUCUACGGAUGAAAGCAGGGGAUCGCAAGACCUUGUGCUACUAGAGCGGCCGAUGGCAGAUUAGGUAGUUGGUGGGAUAAAAGCUUACCAAGCCGACGAUCUGUAGCUGGUCCGAGAGGACGAUCAGCCACACCGGGACUGAGAGACGGCCAGGACUCCUACGGGAGCAGGCAGUGGAGAAUUUUGGACAAUGGGCUAAGCCCUGAUCCAGUAAUGCCGCGUGCAUGAUGAAGGCCUUCGGGUUGUAACCUGCUUUUGUACGGAACGAAAAGCCCCGGGUUAAUACCCUGGGGUCAUGACGGUACCGUAAGAGUAAGCACCGGUUAACUACGUGCCAGCAGCCGCCGUAA